RNAcentral lists this ribosomal RNA (444 nucleotides) under uncultured bacterium. RNAcentral describes it as "bacterial SSU rRNA". It matches the Rfam family "Bacterial small subunit ribosomal RNA", at positions 355 to 796 of the family's 1533-position model. The record is from RNAcentral.
UAAGGAAUAUUGGUCAAUGGGCGAGAGCCUGAACCAGCCAUGCCGCGUGCAGGAAGAAAGCCCUCCGGGUUGUAAACUGCUUUUGUACGGGAAGAAACCCAUCUACGUGUAGGUGGUUGACGGUACUGUAAGAAUAAGGAUCGGCUAACUUCGUGCCAGCAGCCGCGGUAAUACGAAGGAUCCAAGCGUUAUCCGGAUUUAUUGGGUUUAAAGGGUGCGUAGGCGGCUUAUUAAGUCAGUGGUGAAAGCCCGAUGCUUAACAUCGGAACUGCCAUUGAUACUGAUGAGCUUGAAUAUACUUGAGGUAGGCGGAAUGUGUCAUGUAGCGGUGAAAUGCUUAGAUAUGACACAGAACACCGAUUGCGAAGGCAGCUUGCUAAAGUAUGAUUGACGCUGAGGCACUAAAGCGUGGGGAUCAAACAGGAUUAGAUACCCCCGUAGUCC